CAAAUCUCAACGUGGAUGAAAAUCACUAAGGACUGUUUCCAGCACCCUGUUAAAUAUCAUAGAAUUAAAACAGCUCUGAAAACAAAACGAGAUUCACACAAGCGCUAAUAAAUGUACCUAAUAAAGUGUCCAGUGAGUGUAGUUUCCUUAGCAGUGUCAUUUAAAGAAGGCAGUUAUGUUUACUAACCCUUUCACUUUGGCCUCUGCUGAGCCAAACGUUUUCAGGAAUGCAUUUCUUUUUACAAGUUUCUAAUAAGACCAGACAAUGAUAAGGGGGAAAACUGAGUGCUGCAGCAUGCUUAGGACAGCUAAAGGGGGAAAUAUUUGUGGCAGCAGUGAGCAGAUUUUAAAUGCACGAGAAUCAAUAAAAAAGGUGGCUGCUGAAGCACAGUCUUUGCAUAAGAGUGGAACACUUCACAACAGCAGUGAUCUAAAGGUCUAUAUUCAUUUGUAAUACUGCACCUACCUGACCAAGAAGUAUGAAUAUGGAGUCAAAUCAUUCAUUCUCAACUGACCUAUUUUUGAUUUUAUUUUUUGCUGCAAAGGGGGUAAAUAAAUACUAAACAGCCAUCAGCCAAUUAACACAGAAGGCAGACAUCAAAUCCAGAAGCGUCAGUGGUUCAAAUUAAGCACUGCGACAAGCAUCUCCAGGCGCAGGAAAAAAAAAAAAAAAAAAAAAAAAAAAACAGACCAGGAAGAUGAGUGAAAAAGAGUAAUCUCCCCGACAUAUUCCUAAUAAUCCACCUCCCCUGUGCCGCUCCCCUCGAGCUCACCCAAUCAUAAAGUGUCAACACUGACCUACAAAAAGGGACUCCUGUCAAGGCUUACAUGCUUGAAAACAUCAAUCACGGCAGACAAAGAGGGUACAUUGAAUUAUGCAGCAUUAACCUUCGGGGCUUGCAUAUAAAGACCACAGAUUUAUUUAUGCUUGUGUGUUAAGAGCCUCUGCACUGUUCCUUACAAAGUGCUGCCUGCCAAAUUGAUGAACCUGCACCUCAGCCCUCAGUUGGAGUCCAGCAUCUUUGAUUAAUGAGUGCAAACUUGUGGAAAGGGCAAGAAUAGGAGAGACAGGGUGAAAAUGGGUGAAACACAAAUAUUAUAAGACCCUGGUUGUUGUUUUUUUUUUC
Long non-coding RNA from Astatotilapia calliptera (eastern happy), 1127 nucleotides. The record is from Ensembl. Lineage: Eukaryota; Metazoa; Chordata; Actinopteri; Cichliformes; Cichlidae.